GGAGCUAAUCCCUUAAAGCUACUCUCAGUUCGGAUUGUAGGCUGAAACUCGCCUACAUGAAGCUGGAGUUACUAGUAAUCGCAGAUCAGACUGCUGCGGUGAAUGCGUUCCCGGGUCUUGUACACACCGCCCGUCACACCACGGGAGUUGGAGACGCCCGAAGCCGAUUAUCUAACCUUUUGGAAGAAGUCGUCGAAGGUGGAAGCAAUAACUGGGGU
This 218-nucleotide ribosomal RNA is filed under the name Clostridioides difficile. RNAcentral describes it as "partial 16S ribosomal RNA". It matches the Rfam family "Bacterial small subunit ribosomal RNA", at positions 1264 to 1481 of the family's 1533-position model. The record is from RNAcentral. Lineage: Bacteria; Bacillati; Bacillota; Clostridia; Peptostreptococcales; Peptostreptococcaceae.